Molecule: ribosomal RNA, 253 nt
Filed under: uncultured bacterium
Lineage: Bacteria
Description: partial 16S ribosomal RNA
Rfam family: Bacterial small subunit ribosomal RNA
Source: RNAcentral
UACGUAGGGGGCAAGCGUUGUCCGGAAUUACUGGGCGUAAAGCGCACGUAGGUGGCGACGUAAGUCGGGUGUGAAAGCCCCGGGCUCAACCUGGGAAUUGCAUUCGAGACUGCAUUGCUGGAGUACGGAAGAGGAGGGCGGAAUUCCCGGUGUAGCGGUGAAAUGCGUAGAUAUCGGGAGGAACAUCAGUGGCGAAGGCGGCCCUCUGGUCCAGUACUGACACUCAAGUGCGAAAGCGUGGGGAGCAAACAGG